Non-coding RNA from Pelagophyceae sp. CCMP2097, 73 nucleotides. NCBI's taxonomy places the organism in Eukaryota, Pelagophyceae. The record is from the annotation of a GenBank genome assembly.
AGUUCUUUAGCUCAGUGGUAGAGCACUACCCUCGUAAGGUAAUGGUACACAAUUCGAUCCUGUGAAGGAGCUA